CCACUCAAUUGUGUCAAAAACCAAACCCAAACUUGCCCAACAAAUUACCCCAAAACAUCUCAAACACAAGAAUCAAUUUCAGAUUACUCAAUACCACCCACAUCCACAUGCCCAGAUUACUUUCGGUGGAUCCACGAAGAUCUAAGCCCCUGGAAAGUCACAGGAAUCACAAGGGACAUGUUAGAAAGAGCCAAUCAAACGGCUCAUUUUCGUCUAAUACUCGUCAACAACAAAGUAUAUAUCCACAAGUACAAACAAUCAAUACAAACUAGAGACGUUUUCACCAUAUGGGGCAUCUUGCAACUCCUUAGAAAGUAUCCCGGAAGAUUACCGGACUUGGAGCUUAUGUUUGACUGCGAUGACCGCCCCGUCAUCCGAUCACGCGACUACAGCGGGCCAAACAACAAGGGCCCACCUCCGUUGUUUCGGUACAGUGGUGACAGGUGGACGAUGGAUAUAGUGUUUCCUGAUUGGUCCUUCUGGGGAUGGUAAUGACUUCUUCUUCUUCUUCUUCAU
Molecule: long non-coding RNA, 516 nt
Filed under: Citrus sinensis (sweet orange)
Lineage: Eukaryota; Viridiplantae; Streptophyta; Magnoliopsida; Sapindales; Rutaceae
Description: long non-coding RNA (CSIN_LNC001882)
Source: RNAcentral